Molecule: unclassified non-coding RNA, 149 nt
Filed under: soil metagenome
Description: partial internal transcribed spacer 1
Source: RNAcentral
CCGAGUGCGGGCCCUCGCGGCCCAACCUCCCACCCUUGUCUCUAUACACCUGUUUGCUUCGGCGGCGCCCGCGGAGGGUGCCGCCCGGUCUCAUCGGAAUCUCUGUUUUCGAACCCGACGAUACUUCGAGUGUUCUUAGCGAACUGUCA